CCUACGGGUGGCAGCAGUGGGGAAUAUUGCACAAUGGGCGCAAGCCUGAUGCAGCCAUGCCGCGUGUGUGAAGAAGGCCUUCGGGUUGUAAAGCACUUUCAGCGGGGAGGAAGGCGUUAAGGUUAAUAACCUUGUCGAUUGACGUUACCCGCAGAAGAAGCACCGGCUAACUCCGUGUCAGCAGCCGCGGUAAUACGGAGGGUGCAAGCGUUAAUCGGAAUUACUGGGCGUAAAGCGCACGCAGGCGGUCUGUCAAGUCGGAUGUGAAAUCCCCGGGCUCAACCUGGGAACUGCAUUCGAAACUGGCAGGCUAGAGUCUUGUAGAGGGGGGUAGAAUUCCAGGUGUAGCGGUGAAAUGCGUAGAGAUCUGGAGGAAUACCGGUGGCGAAGGCGGCCCCCUGGACAAAGACUGACGCUCAGGUGCGAAAGCGUGGGGAGCAAACAGGAUUAGAUACCCGAGUAGUC
This 465-nucleotide ribosomal RNA is filed under the name uncultured Klebsiella sp. RNAcentral's name for it is "bacterial SSU rRNA". It matches the Rfam family "Bacterial small subunit ribosomal RNA", at positions 338 to 795 of the family's 1533-position model. Lineage: Bacteria; Pseudomonadati; Pseudomonadota; Gammaproteobacteria; Enterobacterales; Enterobacteriaceae. The record is from RNAcentral.